AAUAGUGUAUUUGUGUGUGUGUAUAUGUGUGUAUAUAUGUGUGUGUGUGUAUAUAUACAUACACACACACAUGCAUACACUAUUGAAUACACACACAC
This 98-nucleotide microRNA precursor is filed under the name Tupaia belangeri (northern tree shrew). Its description in RNAcentral is "miRNA (ENSTBEG00000019792.1)". Lineage: Eukaryota; Metazoa; Chordata; Mammalia; Scandentia; Tupaiidae. The record is from RNAcentral.